Long non-coding RNA from Motacilla alba alba, 714 nucleotides. RefSeq lists it as uncharacterized. The record is from RefSeq and is a predicted model, not a curated record. The transcript has 3 exons. NCBI's taxonomy places the organism in Eukaryota, Metazoa, Chordata, Aves, Passeriformes, Motacillidae.
GUGAAUUCAGAGGGAGUCGCCACUUUGGCUGAUGAGAUGUGACCUGUUUUAAUCACUGCCGUCCACUGUCAGGUGAAAGUUCUGAAGCACAGCUGUGAGAUGAAUAGCAAUGACCACGGUUUGGACACAGCUCUGCAAAAUCAGGUUGCCGAAGAAGAGACAAGCUGAGGAUGUCCUGAUGACUUAGCAGCAAGUUUACAUCCUUCUGGUUUUCUCCACUGAGAUGAUUCCUGGGACUUACACAUAAAAAAAAGUGCUGAAGGAGUCGACAGCUUGGAGCAUGGCUGUACAGGUCCUCUGUUAAGAAGGAGAAACUGCUGGCCACAAUAAAAGGAACAUGAAUAGUUUUGAAGGCAGCUGCCCCACAAGUAGAACGGUGAAGCCUCAUCAGCUUAUCAAUCAUGAGGAAGAGCUCAGGGGAGGAGAAUGUCUCAAAAUGGGGUAAUUUCCUUGGAGUUUUAAAACCAGAAUACUUUGUUUAAAACAAUGGGGUUUUAAAAAUGAUGGGCACAGUUGCCCAUCCAUGUGUCUAGCAGAUAAACACACAGCCAGACACAAAUAUAUGACAUACAUAUAUGUAUCUGUGUGACACUCACCACCCCUUUGAAGUACCAAAAUUAAAGAUGCUGGCUCACCUCCCGUGCUCCCAAACUGGCCAUUGAUUUUUGUCCAUUGCUGUAGAGGUAGGACUGAAAGUAGAUGUGCCAUCAGCAU